Molecule: long non-coding RNA, 207 nt
Filed under: Gossypium barbadense (sea-island cotton)
Lineage: Eukaryota; Viridiplantae; Streptophyta; Magnoliopsida; Malvales; Malvaceae
Description: long non-coding RNA (GBAR_LNC004973)
Source: RNAcentral
CAGAAUCCAUAUCGAACUUUGAACUAAUCUCAAGAAUCUACACUACCAAAAUCAAACACAAAGAUAAAUGUCUAAACAUUACAGUUUUAAUCUUAAAAAACUAAUUUGACAACUUCAGAGUUUCGCACAGACUAGUAUCAGAGUUUCAGACAUUUUAUUUUCUCAAAAACUUUUUCGAAACAUUGUGGUACAAAUUUUCAGAAUUUU